RNAcentral lists this ribosomal RNA (165 nucleotides) under Ceramothyrium sp. RNAcentral describes it as "partial large subunit ribosomal RNA". It matches the Rfam family "Eukaryotic large subunit ribosomal RNA", at positions 99 to 261 of the family's 3401-position model. Lineage: Eukaryota; Fungi; Ascomycota; Eurotiomycetes; Chaetothyriales; Chaetothyriaceae. The record is from RNAcentral.
CGGCAACAGCUCAAAUUUGAAAUCUGGCGUUUUUAGCGUCCGAGUUGUAAUUUGUAGAGGAUGUUCCGGCCACGACCUCGGGCUAAAUUUCUUGGAACAGAAUGUCAUAGAGGGUGAGAGCCCCGUCUUGACCCGAGUGUACGAGCCGUGUGGAACUCCUUCGAC